Molecule: long non-coding RNA, 1278 nt
Organism: Zophobas morio
Lineage: Eukaryota; Metazoa; Arthropoda; Insecta; Coleoptera; Tenebrionidae
Exons: 3
Source: RefSeq, a predicted model, not a curated record
UAUAAAAGGCACGCAUCUGUCCGGACUUCUCAGUUCUCUGUGGUUACCUACGACGAAAAGUUAAACAAAAAUCAUGGACAAAGACGGUAGAGACAAUAGAAGCAAUCAGCUAAAUCAAAACCAUCCAUCCUAUCAAGCUGGAACGGUUACUCAUGGCUACAAUUCUCAGCAACACUACAAGGACAAUAGGUCCAACCAGCUGAAUACAAACAACGAACAAUAUUACAAGUCAAGGGCUGACAAUUCUAACAACUCUAACAAGAAAUAGUGAACAAACUAAAGAAAAACAUGUAAACAAAUACAUUGCAAUAAAAAAUGAUUAAAUAAAAAUCUGUCUAGAAUAUUGUUACGAAAUAAACCCAUACGCCGCCCCGGUACGACGCCUGUGAGUGUUCUAGUAUGUAUGUGUUUCUUCUAGUAUGUAGUAUGACUCAUCGAGCGGGCGGCGCGGCGCUCGCUAAAGAAAAGCCUGGAAGCGGAUGUCGCGACGGACCCAGAAAACCCUCGAGGCGGCAUUCUUUGAUCCAUCGAGAGAAACGUAUAGAUUUAAAUAGAGGCCACCGUCGGGGACGAUUAUCAUUCAUCCAAUUGAGUCGAGUUCAGCGAGUGCCGAUCGUUGUUAAUCGUGUGAAUUUGAGUUACUAAGAAAUAAAUUCUAGUGUAAGUAUUUCCACUCUUGCAACAAACUCCAGCAACUACCAACAGAUGUCACUUCGAUUACUUAUAUGAUACGUCAAGUGAAUAUUCGAAUCUGUUACCUGUCAAACUAUUUUGACAAAACAAGUAUAGGCUGUUGACUCAUCAAGAGCAUGUAUUUAUCGGUAAACAUAUGAUAUCAUUAAAAAUAACACAGAUAAAAAUUACUGUAUUUAAAAGUAUUCCUGGUGAUAUGCUGCUCAUCUUGUACUUUAAACGUCUUGUGCUAGCUUCACGCUGUGUUAAGUGAAAUCCCUGAUUUUCUAUAUGUGUGUUUACUAGAAUAUAGUCGCGUUGAGCACAAAGUUUCAACAGUUGUAACUACGGUAGAUAAGAUGGGCAACGCGGGUUCAAGCAAUCGAUGGGGACAUCGUACCUCUGGGUACAAGUCCCAAAAAUGUUACCUUAAUAACAGAGCCAAUCAGUUGAACCCGAACAAUUCUGCUUAUUGGAAGUCUUGCGCUAGACAUGGGACUGCUAAUAGCGGGUGGAGCUGCUGCAAUGUACUUUAACACAAGGUGUGGUUUUUGGCAGAGUAAGAAUUUUUGUAAGCAAAAGAUAAAUAAAAAGUUGUUAAAUGUU